AACGCACAUUGCGCCCCUUGGCAUUCCGAGGGGCAUGCCUGUUCGAGCGUCAUUACAACCCUCAAGCUCUGCUUGGUAUUGGGCGCCGUCCUCUGCGGACGCGCCUCGAAGACCUCGGCGGCGGCUGUUCGGCCCUCAAGCGUAGUAGCAUACACCUCGCUUUGGAGCGGUCGGCGUCGCCCGCCGGACGAACCUUCUGAACUUUUCUCAAGGUUGACCUCGGAUCAGGUAGGGAUACCCGCUGAACUUAA
This 251-nucleotide unclassified non-coding RNA is filed under the name uncultured fungus. RNAcentral's name for it is "partial contains 5.8S ribosomal RNA, internal transcribed spacer 2, and large subunit ribosomal RNA". Lineage: Eukaryota; Fungi. The record is from RNAcentral.